Molecule: ribosomal RNA, 101 nt
Filed under: Penicillium rubens Wisconsin 54-1255
Lineage: Eukaryota; Fungi; Ascomycota; Eurotiomycetes; Eurotiales; Aspergillaceae
Description: 25S ribosomal RNA
Rfam family: Eukaryotic large subunit ribosomal RNA
Source: RNAcentral
CAGACGACUGAAGUGACCAAGCGGGUCGUGUAAGCGGUCAAGUAGCCUUGUUGCUACGAGUCGCUGAGCGUCAGCCCGACCUUGGCUAGAUUUGUUGGUUU